Nannospalax galili (Upper Galilee mountains blind mole rat) is the source of this 162-nucleotide small nuclear RNA. Its record names the gene U1. It matches the Rfam family "U1 spliceosomal RNA". Rfam says of the family: U1 is a small nuclear RNA (snRNA) component of the spliceosome (involved in pre-mRNA splicing). Lineage: Eukaryota; Metazoa; Chordata; Mammalia; Rodentia; Spalacidae. The record is from Ensembl.
CUACUUACCUGGCAGUGGAGACCAUGAUCAGGAGGGUGGUUUUCCCAAGACGAGGCUCAUCCACUGCACUCAGGAAUUGCUGACCCCUGCAAUUGCCCCAAAUGUGGGAAACUUGACUGCAUAAUUUGUGGUAGUGGGGGACUGUGUUUGUGUUCUCCCCUG